CCUACGGGUGGCAGCAGUAGGGAAUAUUGCUCAAUGGGGGAAACCCUGAAGCAGCAACGCCGCGUGGAGGAUGAAGGUUUUCGGAUUGUAAACCCCUUUUGUUAGAGAAGAUAAUGACGGUAUCUAACGAAUAAGCACCGGCUAACUCCGUGCCAGCAGCCGCGGUAAUACGGAGGGUGCAAGCGUUACUCGGAAUCACUGGGCGUAAAGAGUGCGUAGGCGGGAUAGCAAGUCAGAUGUGAAAUCCUAUGGCUUAACCAUAGAACUGCAUUUGAAACUGUUAUUCUAGAGUAUGGGGGAGGUAGGGGGAAUGCAUGGGGUAGGGGGAGAAACCGGAGAGAUCAAGAGGAAUACUCAUUGCGAAGGCGGCCUGCUAGAACAUAACUGACGGUGAUGCGCGAAAGCGUGGGGAGCAAACAGGAUUAGAUACCCCAGUAGUC
Molecule: ribosomal RNA, 440 nt
Filed under: uncultured bacterium
Lineage: Bacteria
Description: partial 16S ribosomal RNA
Rfam family: Bacterial small subunit ribosomal RNA
Source: RNAcentral